GAUGAACGCUAGCGAUAGGCCUAACACAUGCAAGUCGAGGGGCAUCACAUGAAGUAGCAAUACGGAUGGUGGCGACCGGCGCACGGGUGAGUAACACGUAUGCAACCUGCCUUCAACAAGGGGAUAACCCGUUGAAAGACGGACUAAUACCCUAUAACACAGGGGUCCCGCAUGGGAAUAUUUGUUAAAGGACAACCGGUUGAAGAUGGGCAUGCGUUCCAUUAGCUGGUUGGUGAGGUAACGGCUCACCAAGGCAACGAUGGAUAGGGGAACUGAGAGGUUUAUCCCCCACACUGGUACUGAGACACGGCCCAGACUCCUACGGGAGGCAGCAGUGAGGAAUAUUGGCCAAUGGACGCAAGUCUGAACCAGCCACGUCGCGUGAAGGAAGACGGCCCUACGGGUUGUAAACUUCUUUUAUACGGGAAUAAAGUGCCCCACGCGUGGGGUUUUGCAUGUACCGUAUGAAUAAGGAUCGGCUAACUCCGUGCCAGCAGCCGC
RNAcentral lists this ribosomal RNA (501 nucleotides) under uncultured bacterium. RNAcentral describes it as "bacterial SSU rRNA". It matches the Rfam family "Bacterial small subunit ribosomal RNA", at positions 28 to 518 of the family's 1533-position model. The record is from RNAcentral.